UAUACAGCAGUAUACUUCUGGCGUUCUCUCUCUUUAUUUGCUUGAGCUGACAGCGUGAUAGGAAAAUGAAAGGGCCCAGAAGAAAGCACACGGUUGGAGGAGUCAGGAGGCCUAUGUUCUUAUAGAAAGCAUUACCAUGUGGUGGUAAUGAGCCAUUGGAAACAAGGUGGGGGUAGAGAGGAGAAAAUGGCCUGACAUGAGGGCUUCCAUUAGCUUUCUGCAUGUAAAGGGGUCUACAUAGAAUUCGCAAACAGGGCUGACAGAGCGUAGCGCAGUGUCGCAAUGUCGUUUUUCGUCACAAGUUUUAGGAAGCGUCUGUGCAAACUGGUGAGACAUACGAGAGGCUUUACAACCCUUCGAUGCAGUUGUAUUCGGAGAAACAYGCAAAAGACAACAGCUGGAAGGAGAUAUCACGGAUAUCACACUUGAUCACUGAUACUGAUAUCAAAGAAACAUGGAGAAAGAUUUGGGACCGGUAUGUUCGCAAUCUGAAAAGGGUGAAGGAGAUGAGGAGUGGGGCUGCCGCUGGUGUGUGUGUCCCACCGAUUGUCUGACACCUGGAUUGGUUUCGUGUUCACAUGAAACAUCGUCAGACAGACACCAAUAAUAUGCCAAAUACGGUGGUGGAGUGGGGUGGUGUUUUGGACAGCCCAGAAACAGAGUUGAGCCCUGAUGGCCCAUCUACAGGUGGUUCAUUGCCCCUUGGUUCAUCAUCGCCGUCACGUCCGUCGAAAGAAGAGGACCAAAGUGCAGCGUGUGCAUGCAUUCAACAAGCUUUGGAUGAAGGACUUGGCCGCCAUCUUCGAAGUUCACUCAAAAAGACAAUAGUUCUGAAAUGGGUUUGAUUUAGUUUUUGUUGUUUUAAUUAUUCAUAUUUUGUUCAUUCUAUUUUAAACUUCCAUUGGUUAAUCUAUUGCUCAAUUAUCACUUGGCACAUUUAAAUCAUUCUGUAGUUGUCMAUUUAAACACCCUAAGGUCAACAUCCCCAUAGUGUUCACACUUCUCUCAUGUAAAUGUUGAAGCUACAUAA
Molecule: long non-coding RNA, 1030 nt
Organism: Salvelinus sp. IW2-2015
Lineage: Eukaryota; Metazoa; Chordata; Actinopteri; Salmoniformes; Salmonidae
Source: RefSeq, a predicted model, not a curated record